AUAAGCGGAGGAAAAGAAACCAACAGGGAUUGCCUCAGUAACGGCGAGUGAAGCGGCAACAGCUCAAAUUUGAAAUCUGGCCCCCUCUGGGGGUCCGAGUUGUAAUUUGCAGAGGGUGCUUUGGCAUGGGCGGCGGUCUAAGUUCCUUGGAACAGGACAUCGCAGAGGGUGAGAAUCCCGUAUGUGGGCGCCUGCCUUUGCCGUGUAAAGCCCCUUCGACGAGUCGAGUUGUUUGGGAAUGCAGCUCUAAAUGGGAGGUAAAUUUCUUCUAAAGCUAAAUACCGGCCAGAGACCGAUAGCGCACAAGUAGAGUGAUCGAAAGAUGAAAAGUACUUUGGAAAGAGAGUCAAAUAGCACGUGAAAUUGUUGAAAGGGAAGCGCUUGCAGCCAGACGUGCCCGCAGUUGCUCACCCCGGCUCUUGCCUGGGGCACUCUUCUGCGGGCAGGCCAGCAUCAGUUUGGGCGGUCGGAUAAAGGCCUCUGUCAAGUAUCUUCCUCCGGGAUGACCUUAUAGGGGAGGCGCAAUGCGGCCAGCCCGGACUGAGGUCCGCGCAUUUUUGCUAGGAUGCUGGCGUAAUGGCUGUAAGCGGCCCGUCUUGAAACACGGACCAAGGAGUCUAACAUCUAUGCGAGUGUUUGGGUGUCAAGCCCGGGCGCGUAAUGAAAGUGAACGGAGGUGGGAACCCUUCGGGGUGCACCAUCGACCGAUCCUGAUGUCUUCGGAUGGAUUUGAGUAAGAGCAUAGCUGUUGGGACCCGAAAGAUGGUGAACUAUGCUUGAAUAGGGUGAAGCCAGAGGAAACUCUGGUGGAGGCUCGCAGCGGUUCUGACGUGCAAAUCGAUCGUCAAAUUUGGGCAUAGGGGCGAAAGACUAAUCGAACCAUCUAGUAGCUGGUUCCUGCCGAA
Molecule: ribosomal RNA, 905 nt
Filed under: Montagnula aloes
Lineage: Eukaryota; Fungi; Ascomycota; Dothideomycetes; Pleosporales; Didymosphaeriaceae
Description: eukaryotic LSU rRNA
Rfam family: Eukaryotic large subunit ribosomal RNA
Source: RNAcentral